Molecule: ribosomal RNA, 253 nt
Filed under: uncultured bacterium
Lineage: Bacteria
Description: partial 16S ribosomal RNA
Rfam family: Bacterial small subunit ribosomal RNA
Source: RNAcentral
UACAGAGGGGGCAAGCGUUGUUCGGAAUUACUGGGCGUAAAGGGCGCGUAGGCGGCCUUCUAAGUCAGACGUGAAAUCCCUCGGCUCAACCGGGGAACUGCGUCUGAUACUGGAUGGCUUGAAUCCGGGAGAGGGAUGCGGAAUUCCAGGUGUAGCGGUGAAAUGCGUAGAUAUCUGGAGGAACACCGGUGGCGAAGGCGGCAUCCUGGACCGGCAUUGACGCUGAGGAGCGAAAGCCAGGGGAGCAAACGGG